AGUGAACGCUGGCGGUAGGCCUAACACAUGCAAGUCGAACGGCAGCACAGUAAGAGCUUGCUCUUACGGGUGGCGAGUGGCGGACGGGUGAGGAAUACAUCGGAAUCUACUUUUUCGUGGGGGAUAACGUAGGGAAACUUACGCUAAUACCGCAUACGACUUACGGGUGAAAGCAGGGGAUCUUCGGACCUUGCGCGAUUGAAUGAGCCGAUGUCGGAUUAGCUAGUUGGCGGGGUAAAGGCCCACCAAGGCGACGAUCCGUAGCUGGUCUGAGAGGAUGAUCAGCCACACUGGAACUGAGACACGGUCCAGACUCCUACGGGAGGCAGCAGUGGGGAAUAUUGGACAAAGGGCGCAAGCCUGAUCCAGCCAUACCGCGUGGGUGAAGAAGGCCUUCGGGUUGUAAAGCCCUUUUGUUGGGAAAGAAAAGCAGCAGGUUAAUACCCCGCUGUUCUGACGGUACCCAAAGAAUAAGCACCGGCUAACUUCGUG
This 492-nucleotide ribosomal RNA is filed under the name uncultured bacterium. Its description in RNAcentral is "partial 16S ribosomal RNA". It matches the Rfam family "Bacterial small subunit ribosomal RNA", at positions 29 to 507 of the family's 1533-position model. The record is from RNAcentral.